Molecule: ribosomal RNA, 1173 nt
Filed under: Triticum aestivum (bread wheat)
Lineage: Eukaryota; Viridiplantae; Streptophyta; Magnoliopsida; Poales; Poaceae
Description: partial small subunit ribosomal RNA
Source: RNAcentral
AUGGCGGAGGGCAGGUGGAAGCCAGUUAUAUGGAUGCGUCGCAAGAGGCUCCGAGACGACGCGCCUACCGAGGCUGAGGCGGAGGCGGUGGUGGGCGAGAGCUUCGAGUUCGCCUUCGACAACGAGGCCUUCUCCGACCGGGUGCUACGGGUAGAGGUCGUCGGCAGCGAGGAGGAAAAUGGUAUUUUUCAGGCGCUGAUGGAAAAGCUUUUCUCAAAUGGCAUGAAAGAGUCUGAUCAGAGACAUGCAACACUUACAAUUGCUGAUUCAGAGGAAAAGGCCUUCAUGGCGCUUUUACACUUAAUGUAUACCGGAAAGUUGACACCAACAACUGAGUCCACUCUUCUGGUUGAUAUGUUAAUGGCCGCGGACAAAUUUGAGGUUGUUUCUUGCAUGAAGCUUUGUAGUCAAAGGCUCAUAGACCUGCCUAUGACCCUAGAAUCGGCAGUGAGGUGCCUAGAUCUCCCAUGUACCAUUCCAUUGGCAGCUGCCAUCAGAGAGGCAGCCAAGACCUUCUUUGCUGAAACUUACAAGGAAUUCCUGUCAACAAAGUUCCAAGAUGAACUGAUGAGGGUCCCUCUCGCUGGAAUUCAGGCCAUCUUAUCAAGGAAUCGCCUUGGGAUUGUAUCUGAAGGAGACGUCUAUGAGUUCAUGCUUAGGUGGGCCUGUUCACAGUACUCUAAUUCAGAAGAAAGACACAAGAUUUUGAGUUCACGGUUGCUUCCACUAGUACCACGAGUCCUCAGUAUGAACGAUUCCAUUCUAAUUGAUCACCCGUCUGGUAUAGUUAACUUUACUAUCAAGCGUGAGAAGUGUUACGGGCUCUUCCCGUUAGGAUCGAUGCGUUCGCCGCCGUUCCAUUGUGCGGGCCGCCGCUUCUACCUCUCGGCACGCUGUAUGGCGACGGAGCAGCUCCAGAUUUUCGGCCUUUCAGUAAAUAUGCUGGAAGACAAGGGGGCAGUAAGGGGGACAGUGGAUUAUAAGAUUGGAGUAAAGACAAGGCCGUCGCUGCAGUUUGUCACCAAGCACAUCAGCAGCACCACCACCGAUAGUAAGCAACUUGUUGGAUGUAGGGUUCCUUGGUCGGAGUUGAUCGCUGAUGACAACCCUUACUUCAUUGAUGACAAACUCCAUCUGCAAGUUCACGUGAAGAUAACACCACAGACGGAGUGA